RNAcentral lists this ribosomal RNA (505 nucleotides) under uncultured bacterium. RNAcentral's name for it is "bacterial SSU rRNA". It matches the Rfam family "Bacterial small subunit ribosomal RNA", at positions 23 to 518 of the family's 1533-position model. The record is from RNAcentral.
CUCAGGAUGAACGCUAGCUACAGGCUUAGCACAUGCAAGUCGAGGGGCAGCAUGACGAUAGCUUGCUAUGUGAUGGCGACCGGCGCACGGGUGAGUAACGCGUAUCCAACUUCCCCAUAGUAGAGGAUAGCCCGGCGAAAGUCGGAUUAAUACUCUAUGUUGAUUUAGAUGACAUCAGAAGAAUACCAAAGGUUUACCGCUAUAGGAUGGGGGAUGCGUCUGAUUAGGUAGUCGGCGGGGUAACGGCCCACCGAGCCAUCGAUCAGUAGGGGUUCUGAGAGGAAGGUCCCCCCACAUUGGAACUGAGACACGGUCCAAACUCCUACGGGAGGCAGCAGUGAGGAAUAUUGGUCAAUGGGCGAGAGCCUGAACCAGCCAAGUAGCCGUGCAGGAUGACGGCCCUAUGGGUUGUAAACUGCUUUUAUACGGGGAUAAAGUGAGGGACGUGUCCCUUAUUGUAGGUACCGUAUGAAUAAGGACCGGCUAAUUCCGUGCCAGCAGCUGC